Anthonomus grandis grandis is the source of this 706-nucleotide long non-coding RNA. RefSeq lists it as uncharacterized. The transcript is spliced from 3 exons. The record is from RefSeq and is a predicted model, not a curated record. NCBI's taxonomy places the organism in Eukaryota, Metazoa, Arthropoda, Insecta, Coleoptera, Curculionidae.
UCCAUUUGUAUGCGAGUGUGGAAAUAGAUACAAAUAUGGUCCCGGUUUAUAUAAGCACAAAAAGUGGCAAUGUCAAAAAGAAAAAUCUUGGAAGUGUCCUUAUUGUCCUCAUCUAACUUGGUAUAAGGCAAAUCUAGAGAAACACAUUAAGAAAAAACAUCGUGGUAUUUGUAAAGUAUAUUAAAUCACAUCUGUGACCUUGUGACAAAGUGGUAGGUAUCUGACAAACCCAGUUUGUCACAGGUACAACUCUCUAUAAAGAGACACUAGAUCGCAACCUAGAAAACUGACCAACGGAGACUAAAAACAACAUGGAGCUCGAAGUGCGGCCAGAGUUAUUAAUACAAGGCAUCUCAUUGAAAAAAUGUGCUUAUGUAUGCCACUGUGGAAAUAUCUACAGGUAUCGCACAGGGUUAAGAGAACACCAAAGAUGGCAAUGCGGAAAAGAUGAAAAGAAAUGGCAGUGUUCCUACUGCUCCUAUUCGGCUACAUGGAAAUCCAAUUUAAAUAUGCAUAUCAGACGGAAACAUACAUGCACAACUUAAUAAACUACUCAGGUGUUUCAAAUCAAUAUGCCAAUAAUAGGCAUUUAUUUAUCUCUUUAUAUAUUGUUUAUUUUCUGAUAUAUUUUUGUGUUACAUUGAUUGAAUUUUUUUGUAUAAUUUUUUUUUAAGGCUGGAAAAUAAAUUACGUUAAUAUAUAUAAA